RNAcentral lists this ribosomal RNA (245 nucleotides) under uncultured Rheinheimera sp. RNAcentral's name for it is "partial 16S ribosomal RNA". It matches the Rfam family "Bacterial small subunit ribosomal RNA", at positions 524 to 768 of the family's 1533-position model. The record is from RNAcentral. Lineage: Bacteria; Pseudomonadati; Pseudomonadota; Gammaproteobacteria; Chromatiales; Chromatiaceae.
UACAGAGGGUGCAAGCGUUAAUCGGAAUUACUGGGCGUAAAGCGCACGUAGGCGGUUUUUUAAGUCAGAUGUGAAAGCCCCGGGCUCAACCUGGGAAUUGCAUUUGAAACUGGGGAACUAGAGUGUGUGAGAGGGGGGUAGAAUUCCAAGUGUAGCGGUGAAAUGCGUAGAGAUUUGGAGGAAUACCAGUGGCGAAGGCGGCCCCCUGGCACAACACUGACGCUCAGGUGCGAAAGCGUGGGGAG